UAGGGAAUCUUCCGCAAUGGACGCAAGUCUGACGGAGCAACGCCGCGUGAGUGAAGAAGGAUUUCGGUUCGUAAAACUCUGUUGUUAGAGAAGAACAGCGCAUAGAGUAACUGUUAUGCGUGUGACGGUAUCUAACCAGAAAGCCACGGCUAACUACGUGCCAGCAGCCGCGGUAAUACGUAGGUGGCAAGCGUUGUCCGGAUUUAUUUGGCGUAAAGCGAGCGCAGGCGGUUAGAUAAGUCUGAAGUUAAAGGCAGUGGCUCAACCAUUGUAGGCUUUGGAAACUGUGUAACUUGAGUGCAGAAGGGGAGAGUGAAAUUCCAUGUGUAGCGGUGAAAUGCGUAGAUAUAUGGAGGAACACCGGUGGCGAAAGCGGCUCUCUGGUCUGUAACUGACGCUGAGGCUCGAAAGCGUGGGGAGCAAACAGG
This 428-nucleotide ribosomal RNA is filed under the name Bacteroidota bacterium. Its description in RNAcentral is "Bacteroidetes bacterium partial 16S ribosomal RNA". It matches the Rfam family "Bacterial small subunit ribosomal RNA", at positions 355 to 776 of the family's 1533-position model. Lineage: Bacteria; Pseudomonadati; Bacteroidota. The record is from RNAcentral.